GGGGGUGUAGCUCAGAGGUAGAGCGACGGUCUCCAAAGCCGGCAGCGCAGGUUCGAUCCCUGCCGCCCCCGCCC
Molecule: transfer RNA, 74 nt
Filed under: Streptomyces marianii
Lineage: Bacteria; Bacillati; Actinomycetota; Actinomycetes; Kitasatosporales; Streptomycetaceae
Description: Streptomyces sp. ICN19 tRNA-Trp
Rfam family: tRNA
About the family: Transfer RNA (tRNA) molecules are approximately 80 nucleotides in length. Their secondary structure includes four short double-helical elements and three loops (D, anti-codon, and T loops).
Source: RNAcentral